Molecule: ribosomal RNA, 697 nt
Filed under: uncultured bacterium
Lineage: Bacteria
Description: bacterial SSU rRNA
Rfam family: Bacterial small subunit ribosomal RNA
Source: RNAcentral
GAGUGCAUAAAAUGGCGCACGGGUGAGGAACACGUAAGUAAUCUACCCGCGAGUGGGGAAUAACAUCGGGAAACCGAUGCUAAUACCGCAUAAUGAAGCGGCACCGCAAGGUGACAGUUGUUAAAGAUAUUAUUUUUUGAGGAGGACCUUGCGGCAGAUUAGCUUGUUGGUAAGGUGACGGCUUACCAAGGCUACGAUCCUGUAUCCGGUCUAAGAGGACGGGCGGACACACUGACACUGAAAAACGGGUCAGACUCCUACGGGAGGCAGCAGUUGGGAAUUUUGGGCAUUGGGGGAAACCCUGACCCAGCAACGCCGCGUGAAGGAUGAAGUACUUAGGUAUGUAAACUUCGAAAGACUAGGAAAAAUUAAAGACAGUACUAUUUAUAAAGUCCGGCUAACUACGUGCGAGCAGCGCGGUAAUUCGUAGGGACCAAGCGUUGUUCGGGUUACUGGGCGUAAAGGGCGCGUAUGCGGCGCGGUGGUCAUUGUGAAAUCUCAGAGCUUAACUCAGAACGGCCAAGUGAUACUGCAGUGCUAGAGUGUGGAAGGGGCAAUCGGAAUUCCUGGUGUAGCGGUGAAAUGCUUAGAUAUCAAGAGGAACACCUAGGUGAAGACGGGUUGCUGGGCCCACACUGACGCUGAGGCGCGAACCCCAGGGGAGCCAACCGGAUCAGAUACCCCGGCAGUCCUGGCC